CACGUGAGUGACCUGCCCUGGAGUGGGGAAUAACUCUGCGAAAGCAGAGCUAAUACCGCAUUCGCUUACCUCUUCAGUGGGGUAAGUAAAGCUCCAUGCGCUUCAGGAGGGGCUUGCGGCCGAUUAGCUAGUCGGUGGGGUAAUGGCCUACCGAGGCAACGAUCGGUAGCUGGUCUGAGAGGAUGACCAGCCACACUGGGACUGAGACACGGCCCAG
This 217-nucleotide ribosomal RNA is filed under the name uncultured bacterium. RNAcentral's name for it is "partial 16S ribosomal RNA". It matches the Rfam family "Bacterial small subunit ribosomal RNA", at positions 114 to 334 of the family's 1533-position model. The record is from RNAcentral.